RNAcentral lists this ribosomal RNA (264 nucleotides) under uncultured Glomeromycotina. RNAcentral's name for it is "partial 18S ribosomal RNA". It matches the Rfam family "Eukaryotic small subunit ribosomal RNA", at positions 619 to 888 of the family's 1831-position model. Lineage: Eukaryota; Fungi; Glomeromycota. The record is from RNAcentral.
UUAAAAAGCUCGUAGUUGAAUUUCGGGACCAUCAUGUCGGUCGUGCCUCGGUACGUACUGGCAUUGUUGGUUUCUCCCUUCUGACGAACCACGAUGUCAUUUAUUUGGUGUUGUGGGGAAUCAGGACUGUUACUUUGAAAAAAUUAGAGUGUUUAAAGCAGGCUCACGCUUGAAUACAUUAGCAUGGAAUAAUGAAAUAGGACGUUUGAUUCUAUUUUGUUGGUUUCUAGGAUCGACGUAAUGAUUAAUAGGGAUAGUUGGGGG